UGGAAGUGCUAACAAACUGUCAUGGCCUA
This 29-nucleotide non-coding RNA is filed under the name Homo sapiens (human). The record is from RNAcentral. Lineage: Eukaryota; Metazoa; Chordata; Mammalia; Primates; Hominidae.